GGGACUGCGGGUCUUACCAUGCAGUCGAACGAUGAACCGCUUUCGGGCGGAGAUAGUGGCAAACGGGUGAGUAACACGUGGGCAAUCUGCCGUGCUCUGUGGGACAAGCCGUGAAAACGGGGUCUAAUACCGGAUAUGAGUGUCCCCCGUGUGGGGUGUGGUGUAGAGCUCCGGGGGCGCGAGAUGAGCCCGCGCUCUAUCAUCGUGGUGGAGAGGUAGUGUCUCACCAGGGACACCACGGGGACCCGGUCUGAGAGGGAGACCGGACACUGUGGCUGUGACACACGGCCCACACUCCUACGGGAGGCAGCAGUGGAAAAUAUUGCACAGUGGGAAAAAGUGUGAUGCAGCCACCCCGCGUGAGGUAAGACGCUCUUCGGUGUGAAAACCUCUUUCAACGGGAAAAAAGCAAAUGUGACGGCCCCUGCAAAAAAAGCCCCGGAUAUCUACGUGCCAACACCCGCGAAAAUACAUAGGGCGCACGCGUUGUCCAGAAUUAUUGCGUGUAAAGAUCUCAGAGGCCUUUUGACGCCGCGUGUGUGAGAGCGCGGCUCUUACCCCCGGCUCUGCUCGCGAUGCGCAGAGGAUAGAUUGCGGGAGGAGAUAUGAAUACUUGUGGUGGAGCGGAGAAGUGCAGAUAUAUGGAGAAGAACAGCGGUGGCGAGCGCAGAUCUGUGCGGAUAUUCUGACUCUGAAGAGCAAAAGCGUGGAGAGAGCACGAGAUUAUAUACUGUGAUACUACACGGCGUACGCUGUGCGCUCUGUGUGUGCACAUAUUACACGGUGUCCGUGGCACAUAUCACAUAUUGUGUGCCGCCCGUGGAGAGUACGGCACGGCGAUAACUCUCAGGAGAUUUGACGGGGGCGCACACGCGCGGCAGAGUGUGUGUCUUAUUUCGCACACCGCAGAGACUCUUCACAAGGCUUGAUAUACAGCGGACAGCUUCAGACAUGGGCCCCUUUUGUGCUGUGUGCACGUGUGGCGCGUGUCUGUCUCUCUCGUGUCGUGAUAUUGUUGGGUUAAUGUCGGACACGAGCGCACUUUUGUCCUGUGUCACAGCAGGCUUGUGGUGGUGGUGGGACUCUCCGGGAGAGAGCGCGGGGG
RNAcentral lists this ribosomal RNA (1105 nucleotides) under Streptomyces sp. RNAcentral's name for it is "bacterial SSU rRNA". It matches the Rfam family "Bacterial small subunit ribosomal RNA", at positions 37 to 1169 of the family's 1533-position model. Lineage: Bacteria; Bacillati; Actinomycetota; Actinomycetes; Kitasatosporales; Streptomycetaceae. The record is from RNAcentral.